UCUAGUGUGGCAGAAAUAGUGCAAUGAAUUUAAGAUUCAUAAAUAAAGAUGUAUCUUUCUCUAGAA
This 66-nucleotide transfer RNA is filed under the name unidentified. Its description in RNAcentral is "Bochrus foveatus tRNA-Leu". The record is from RNAcentral.